RNAcentral lists this ribosomal RNA (330 nucleotides) under uncultured Actinomycetes bacterium. RNAcentral's name for it is "bacterial SSU rRNA". It matches the Rfam family "Bacterial small subunit ribosomal RNA", at positions 28 to 351 of the family's 1533-position model. Lineage: Bacteria; Bacillati; Actinomycetota; Actinomycetes. The record is from RNAcentral.
GACGAACGCUGGCGGCGUGCUUAACACAUGCAAGUGGAGCGACGAACCAGGGCUUGCCCUGGGGCAAAGCCGCGAACGGGUGAGUAUCACGUGGGUAACGUGCCCCGAUGACCGGGACAACCCGAGGAAACUCGGGCUAAUACCGGAUGUGCUGUUCGGUCGCAAGACCGUCCAGUAAAGGAAGCUUCGGCCUCCGCAUUGGGAGCGGCCCGCGGCCCAUUAGCUUGUUGGUGAGGUAACGGCUCACCAAGGCCACGAUGGGUAGCUGGUCUGAGAGGACGAUCAGCCACACUGGGACUGAGACACGGCCCAGACUCCUACGGGUGGCUG